Molecule: transfer RNA, 74 nt
Filed under: Macrostomum lignano
Lineage: Eukaryota; Metazoa; Platyhelminthes; Macrostomidae
Rfam family: tRNA
About the family: Transfer RNA (tRNA) molecules are approximately 80 nucleotides in length.
Source: Rfam by way of RNAcentral
GGGGGCGUAGCCUAGUGGCUUAGAGCAUCGGACUUACGACUUGAAGGUCGCGGGUUCGAUUCCCGGUCCCACUG